UGCAAGGACUUAGCUAGAAAGAUGCCUGC
Molecule: non-coding RNA, 29 nt
Filed under: Homo sapiens (human)
Lineage: Eukaryota; Metazoa; Chordata; Mammalia; Primates; Hominidae
Source: RNAcentral